RNAcentral lists this small RNA (1678 nucleotides) under Oryza sativa Japonica Group (Japanese rice). RNAcentral's name for it is "misc RNA Os05g0163400". The record is from RNAcentral. Lineage: Eukaryota; Viridiplantae; Streptophyta; Magnoliopsida; Poales; Poaceae.
AAACAGCGUCGCUCCACGAAACCAUCGCUGCGGUUGCGUGCUCGCGCGAAGAAGAGGAGAGAGAGGACCAAACCCUCGUCUCCUCCUCCUCCGGUGGUGGGGGGAGAGGAGGCGGCGGCGGAGAGGACGAGCCGUCUACUGGAUCGGCCGCCCACGAGGAGAGAACAUAUAAGUUCUACAACCUCGGUUUAUCCUUAGAAGCAGAAAUGUUCAAUAUGUCAAAGGUACAACUCCGUGUCCUUUGCUUUGAAAUUCAACAUCACUUGCACAACAUGUCUUCUGCAUCUUCAGGCUAUAGUGAGAUUCGGCUUCCACAAUAACCCACGACCUUGAAAGCUGUUAUUAAGAUCUAUUAGAGUUGGACACAAUCUUUGGAACAUGAUUCAGUUAUGUUGUGUGUUUGACUCCACAUUUGGGACACGCGGGAAUUAGGUUGGGUAAGCAAUUGCCAUUUCUUCCAAUAAUCUGAUGGUCAGGUAUUCAGGUACUAAUUGAUUCUUCCCUGUAAUGGAGAGUUUUAUUUUCCUUGAUUUACCAAAAUCAAGCUUACAUUAAGGUGUAACAAAUGGGUGUUUUGGGCUCCAUAAUCAUUUUGUUGAUGCUAAAUGCUGACUACUGGUGCAGCAAAUGGAAGAGCUCUUCCAGUUGAUAUAUGCCAUUUGAGGACAUGUGCUUUGUCCUCAGUAUAAGAACAUUGGCCUAACAUCAUUGUUGGAGUUGCAUUGCCCUUAGAGUGGGGAAAGCGACACCUCUUGCAAGAUAGUAACAGCAAUUAUAUCAUAAAUUACAAGUCAGGCCUUCCAAUGUGGUUUUGGAUGAGGCAAUUGAUACAUUGUCAUUUGAUGCUGAAUUUUUUGUUCGUCUGACGACUGGAAAGGGGGCACCUACGACGAUUAGCUUAGUACUUAGUGAUGGUGUAUGAAGAGCAUUGAUAGUCUCAUGGCCCAUUGCUAACAUGUAGAGAAGGAUUUUGAGUUCCUUGGAAGUAUUGACUGGAGGAGUGUGAACUACUUCGCAAAUAGAUGGGUGUAAAAUCUGGGAAAGAAAACUUAAAGAGCUAAAUGUUUUCUACCAUAUUAGUUGAUCUGAAGGUGCUUUCCAAGUCAAAAUCAGCUUAGCAUAUAGAAUUGACUUGGUGAUGGCGGUACCUGGACCCUUGAAGCAGCAGUUCAGAACUGAUUGCACUGAGUAUUUUCUCUGGAGAUAUCCAUUUGAUGGAGGUGGAAGGAAAGAGAGGCUAGUCAAUAGUAGGUCAACUGAUGGUGUUUGAAACAAGAUGCACUUACUCAUAAGCAGAAUAAACAAGCACAACAAUGCCAUGAAGGGAACCUUAGCAAUGCCGUACAUCUGGCAUCAUUUAAAACGGGGCUUGUUCCACUGUUAUACUAUGACCAUCCGCCUUGAUGGUUUUGCCUGGCUAUUCUGAAGCUAUUAGUUAGCGUUACACCUUUUAAGUUUUACACAUCCAGUGUUGUUCUUUUGUUUUUCUAAUAUUAUGUACAGAUAUCUCUCCCACAUGUCAUAGCUCAAUAUGACAAGGGCUUUAUCCUUUUCCAUGUAAAUAUUUGAGAUUCAGUCAGAUUCUUAUACUUGCUACUUGCUAGAAUGUGAAUGAUAACUGUACUGUUGGAAGAGUGUUGUCAUACAUACAAAUUAGUUAUAAAUUUGUUUCUACUUU